AACGAACGCUGGCGGCAGGCUUAACACAUGCAAGUUGAGCGCCCCGCAAGGGGAGCGGCAGACGGGUGAGUAACGCGUGGGAAUCUACCCAUCCCUACGGAAUAGCUCCGGGAAACUGGAAUUAAUACCGUAUACGCCCUACGGGGGAAAGAUUUAUCGGGGAUGGAUGAGCCCGCGUUGGAUUAGCUAGUUGGUGGGGUAAAGGCCUACCAAGGCGACGAUCCAUAGCUGGUCUGAUAGGAUGAUCAGCCACAUUGGGACUGAGACACGGCCCAAACUCAUACGGGAGGCAGCAGUGGGGAAUAUUUGACAAUGGGGGCAACCCUGAUCCAGCCAUGCCGCGUGAGUGAUGAAGGCCUUAGGGUUGUAAAGCUCUUUCACCGGGGAAGAUAAUGUCGGUACCCGGAGAAGAAGCCCCGGCUAACUUCGUGCCAGCCGCCGCAGUAA
RNAcentral lists this ribosomal RNA (447 nucleotides) under uncultured bacterium. Its description in RNAcentral is "partial 16S ribosomal RNA". It matches the Rfam family "Bacterial small subunit ribosomal RNA", at positions 29 to 523 of the family's 1533-position model. The record is from RNAcentral.